GGGGAUUUAGCUCAGCGGUAGAGCGCUUGCCUAGCAAGCACAAAGCCCUGGGUUCGGUCCCCAGCUCCG
RNAcentral lists this transfer RNA (69 nucleotides) under Rattus norvegicus (Norway rat). It matches the Rfam family "tRNA". From Rfam's summary of the family: Transfer RNA (tRNA) molecules are approximately 80 nucleotides in length. Lineage: Eukaryota; Metazoa; Chordata; Mammalia; Rodentia; Muridae. The record is from Rfam by way of RNAcentral.